RNA transcript from Aedes albopictus (Asian tiger mosquito), 1756 nucleotides. RefSeq lists it as uncharacterized. The record is from RefSeq and is a predicted model, not a curated record. NCBI's taxonomy places the organism in Eukaryota, Metazoa, Arthropoda, Insecta, Diptera, Culicidae. The transcript is spliced from 2 exons.
AAGAAGAAGUUAUCAUAAAACCAACAGAUACCUUGGUUUCGUUACGACGAACAAUGGAGGAACUUGGUUCAAUAUGUAAAAAAUAUAGUGUCGGAGAAUUAUACAUUCGAAUAAACGAUGUUACGAUUAGUUUUGUUGGCCAUUUGAAUGUAUCUAGACUAUUAGGAGAAAUAGUGCGAAUACUCUGUAAAUACAACAUGAAACGUAAGAACCACUGGGCUGUGGAUCGCCGCUCGAGAACCCCUAUCAAAUGAUGAUUUGCCUUCCCGUUUAAUAAAGUGCAAUCGGGAAUCGCACACACACUCUCUCCAAGCGACACGACAUCAUCGCGCAACAUCAUCGAUCGAUACAGAUCAGCAAACGCGGGAAGACCAAGCACACAUCGACCACGGCAGAGAAAAGCAUCAUCGGGAAACAAAACGAGAGCGCAAACCGAACACAACCAUCAUCCGCCGAUUGGAGGAGCGAGCCAGUCAUGCGAUCGGCCAGCCCAGCAGUGAGUUCGCGUCGUGGUGGUCUGAAGAGCAGAUCGUUUGCUCGCGGGUGCUUUUUUCCAGCCAAGUGAGGACGCCAAGCCGGUGUUGCUGGCAAAUAAUAAAUUUGGUCCAAAGUGCUUGAGAUUGGCAGUGCUAAAUUGUGGGACUGAAACGUGAUCCCACGUAUUAAUCACCAUUUGUGUGGAGAGGUUGGACGAACAAGCAACAGGUGAGCGUCAUGACGAUUAAUCCUCACAGCGGCAUGAUCAGCGACCAUUUUGUUUCCCUACUCAGGCUACCGGGAGACAAAGGCCGGCGUGGCUUCCACACGCGCUCGAAAUAGAAAGAUUCGAAGAAAGCCAUUACCUGCCGCAUCGGUCAACGACGAAAUAAGUUGGAAAGAAAAAACAGGUGAGCUGAAACCUUUAUGAUUUGCUCUGGAAUUGUUUCUAAAACCACCUUACAUGCAAACACAGACCACCUCACCGUGAAAAGCAAGAUCUGUCGAGAAGACACGUGGGGAAUAUCAUACUCCGUUCCGCUCAGGGAAGAUCAUCCGCAACGAGACAGAAUAGAGCAGGUGAGUUGAAAGCACUACAGACCCCGUGUGUUGUCCACACUAACAGCCGCCACUUUCAGCUUGUGUCAUCGUCGCGUUUGACCAAUUCGGUGAGACCAAGUGGGCCGAACAAAAGCAGCAGCAAGAAGAACAACCGCAAGACACCGAGGACAAAGAGAGCCCCUUUUAGGUUUUGCGUGGCAGCCAGAUCAUUACGCCGGGUUCGAAUCGGCAACACAGAGAGGAGAUCAGCGUGAUCGGAUCGGAGAAGCUAAGCGGCUGGAACCACUCCAGCUGGGUCGACGCAGCGAAGCGGACGUGGUCACAGCUUCCGCAACCGUAGUGAUCGUUGAGCCUGGUUUUGAGGAAAUCGAUUGGCGGUCCGCUGGUCCAAAGGAAGCCAUCAAGUCGGUCGGUCGGUCGGUCGAUGGAGAGAGGGCUUGCACGAGGGAGGAAGAAUCGGCCAGCGUCGAGACCGGAGGGGACGGCCACACCCAUGGUAACCGUGAGUCUAGUUUAAGAACGCAUUAUUAAGCUAAGUGUAGGCCAAGAGAUAGGAGCUUCGAAUAAGCGUAAUGAGAAAAGCGUAACGCACAAUACAAUGUUAAAAUUCAAGCUUUGUGCAUAAAUUUGAUUUGGCGUCUUAGCCCAAAGUGUUUGAGAUCCGAAUCCCUUUGCUCUAUGGUAGCUUCGCUCUACCGGGUCGGGAACUUGCAACAAC